Molecule: RNA transcript, 6245 nt
Organism: Megalobrama amblycephala (Wuchang bream)
Lineage: Eukaryota; Metazoa; Chordata; Actinopteri; Cypriniformes; Xenocyprididae
Gene name: zinc finger protein 804B
Exons: 4
Source: RefSeq, a predicted model, not a curated record
CAGAAAUGCAACAGACAUCCAGACCUGUACAAAGCAAGCAAAAUAGUAAAGAAAAUAAUAUUCAACCUGUUACUCAUUCAGAUGCGAUCACUUCUGCUGAUAAGUCACUGUCCCUCGCCACGCCUGGACUUUUGAACAUCAUUGGAAAAAGGUGCUUGGUUCACUGCCAGCUCAAUGAUGUCUCAGUUGAAGCCUUAUGGGACACAGGAGCCCAAGCCAGUAUUAUCAACGCAGACUGGAGGGAACGACACUUACCACAUACCACCGUCAGACCGAUUGAGGAGCUCCUGGGGCCAGGAACGCUUACUGGACUGGCUGCCAAUCACACAGAGAUCCCUUUUGAUGGCUGGGUGGAAGUGAGCUUCCGUCUAAGUGAUGAUCCAGGUACAGAAGGGACCCUGCAAGUACCCAUACUCGUGGCAAGUGAUAUUAGCGUGGCUGAAAACCCUAUCAUCGGUUACAAUAUCAUCGAAGAGAUAAUUACCAGGUGGGAGAAACAGAGACCAUGGUCCAGUACUGUCUGUAGGGUAAGCAAAGCUUUCUCUAUUUCAAUGAAUAAGGCCAGAUCUAUGCUUAAACUGUUGAAGACUGUAAAUUCAAAUGUGACAGUUGGAACGGUGCGAGUGGGUAAACAAAAGGUCCAGCUCAACGCAGGGCAAAUAACCACUGUCUAUGCACAAGCACACAUUGGGGGGCAAUUUCAAGAACAAAGCCUGUUAUUCACUCCAAGUGAACCAUCACCACUACCAGAGUGUUUAAUAAUGCAGGAAGGCGUAGUCAAAGUUGGUAAUGGGAAGACAGCAAAAGUGCCAAUUGCCAUCGCUAAUACAGCCAGUCACCCAGUCAUACUUGCGCCACGACUCAUCCUUGGCCACCUGGAAGUGGUAAAGACAACUUACCCAAUAAAAACAGACUCUUUCCAGAGAAAUGAGACUCAGAUGGAGCAGGUGAUAGAACAGCCAACAUCCACGGUGCAGACAUGUGGGGUGGGUGUUACACCACAUCAAUCAAAGAGACCCAGUCAGUGGGAUCCACCAAUAAAACUUGAACACUUAACAGAGUCACAGCAGCAGAUUGUACGACAACUGUUAAAGGAAGAGUGCAACGCUUUUGCUUUUGAUGAUGAUGAUGUUGGUUGCAUCCCCUCACUCAACAUGCAUAUUACACUCCAUGACAAAUCACCUGUGCAAAAGACUUAUAUUUCUGUGCCCAAGCCACUUUUACAGGAGGUGAAGGAGUACCUUCAAGAUCUGCUGAACCGAGGGUGGAUAAGCAAAUCAAGAUCUCAUUAUUCCUCGCCAGUCGUCUGUGUGAGGAAAAAGGACGGGAGCUUGAGACUUUGCUGCGACUAUCGUGAAUUAAAUCGCAAGUCUGUACCUGACAGGCACCCCAUUCCCAGGAUCCAGGAUAUGCUGGACUCCCUGAGCGGCAGGUCUUGGUUUUCGGUCUUGGACCAAGGGAAGGCCUAUCACCAAGGAUUCCUUGAUGCCGAGAGCCGACCCCUAACAGCCUUUAUAACACCCUGGGGACUAUUUCAGUGGAACAGGAUUCCAUUUGGCCUUAGCUCAGCUCCAGCCGAGUUCCAGAGAAACAUGGAAGCUUGUCUAGAGGAUCUGAGAGAUGUUAUCUGUCAGCCUUACCUGGAUGAUAACCUUGUUCAUAGUACCUCUUUCAAUGAUCAUGUUGCUCAUGUUCGCACAGUUCUCCAAAGAUACCAGAAACAUGGAGUCAAACUCACCCCACACAAAUGUGAACUGUUCCGAAGGAAAGUGCGGUUCUUGGGCCGUAUUGUUUCUGAGGAUGGAUAUUCCAUGGAUCCAGCUGAAAUAGCCCCGGUGCAGGCCCUGAAGCUCCGAAAACCAGCUACAGUGGGAGAUUUGAGAAAAAUUAUGGGAUUCCUUUCCUAUUAUAGAACUUACAUACCCAAUUUCUCUCGCCUGGCAAGACCUCUCUAUCAGCUGAUAGCGGUGCCACCUCAAAACACAUUACCUGCUGAGCCUAAGGGAAAGAAAAGAACUAAAGUCAGUACUAAGUUAAAAGGGCAGGCAUCCCCCAACACACCCAUAACUUGGACACAGACUCAUCAAGAUGCGUUGAACACACUGAUUGACUGCUUAAUAGAGCCACCAAUUCUUGCUUAUCCUGACCUGACUCUACCGUUUGUCCUCCAUUGUGAUGCGUCACAGGAUGGAUUGGGGGCAGUCCUGUAUCAAAAACAAAAAGGAAAGAUGUCAGUGAUUGCAUAUGGGUCAAGGACACUCACACCACCGGAGAAAAACUACCACAUGCAUUCAGGAAAACUAGAAUUCCUCGCUCUUAAGUGGGCCAUUUGUGAACGCUUUAGGGAUUAUUUGUUCCAUGCUCCACAUUUUGAAGUGUACACAGACAAUAAUCCCUUAACGUACAUUUUGACGACAGCCAAACUCAAUGCAACAGGGCACCGUUGGGUCGCAGAGCUGGCCGAUUUUAAUUUCACCAUCAAAUAUCGGCCAGGGAGAUGCAAUGCAGAUGCAGAUGGCUUGUCGAGGAUGCCGCUGGACAUUGACCAGUACAUGAAGCUGUGCACAGAGGAGAUAAACCAAGAUGUGAUAAGUGCUGCAGUGCAGGGUGUGGUUUUAACUUUCAAGGAUGCUUCUCUGUGGACAAGUGGAAUUCACUUACAAGCUGUACAUCUGGUGGAAGACAACAUCUCACUGCCCACUAAUAUGUGUCUGUCACAGGAGCAGAUCAAACAAUCCCAAGAGAAAGACCCAGUUAUCAGCCGUGUCCUGGAGUACAAAAAAAAUAACAGUCGUCCAUUUGGCCGCACCCUCAAAGAAGAAUCUCAGGAUGCCAGAUUCCUGUUGAAACAGUGGACACGACUACACUUGAGCGAUGACGGAGUCCUGUACAGAAAAGCAGGAAAGAGAAACCAGCUGAUUCUACCGAAAGAACAUCAUCAAGCAGUUUACAGAGAGUUGCAUCAGGAAAUGGGGCAUCUGGGAACAGAGAGGACUCUAAGUCUAAUUCGUGAAAGAUUCUAUUGGCCCCAUAUGCAAAAAGAGACAGAGCACUUUGUGACGCGUGUAUGUGAGUGCCUGAAAAGGAAAAAACCUCAUAAGCCUACAAAAGCCCCAUUGGUUACAAUUCAAACCACCUACCCAUUCCAGCUUGUGUCCAUUGACUUUCUUCACCUUGAGAAGUGCAAAAAUGGUUAUGAGUACAUACUUGUAGUGAUGGACCAUUUCACACGUUUUGCCCAGGCUUACGCCACAAGAAAUAAGUCGGCAAAAACUGUGGUACAGCAUGUCUUUGGUGAUUUUGCCCUCAAGUUUGGCUUCCCUGAAAAAAUCCACCACGAUAUGGGAAGAGAAUUUGAGAAUCACCUGAUGGAUCAGUUGCAAGAGGUUUGCGGUGUGCGUGGGUCACACACAACCCCGUAUCACCCAAUGGGCAACGGGCAAGUUGAAAGGUUCAACAGGACGCUCUUGUCCAUGCUCAGGACGCUGAGUGAUACAAAGAAGGCUGACUGGAAGAACUCGCUGUCCAAAGUGGUCCAUGCAUACAACUGCACCCGCUCUGAAGCAACUGGCUUCUCUCCAUAUUACCUGCUAUUCGGACGUUCACCCCGGCUCCCCAUCGAUCUCAUGUUUAACCUGCAGGCAAAUGAGAAACAGCAGAGUUAUGCAGAGUAUGUUGCAAACUGGCAAACACAGAUACAGGAAGCCUAUGAUAUCGCAUCAAAGACUGCAAGUAAAGAGGCCUUGAGAGGGAAAAAAUAUUAUGACAAGAAAAUCCAUGGCAUUGAGCUUUUGCCUGGCAACAGAGUCCUACUCAGAAACCUAAGCGAAAGAGGAGGACCAGGUAAACUGCGCUCACACUGGGAAGAUUGUGUGUAUACAGUGAUAAGUCGGAAAAGCCCUGAUGAUCCAGUGUACGAGAUCAGACCAGAGAAAGGAGGACAGAGUCGGGUGGUACACAGAAACCUCCUGCUGCCCUGUGACAGUUUACCUGUAGAAAAGCCAGACAUAAAGGACGGCCAAACACAAAAAAGAAAGCACAGUGUUAAGAGCAGGAAAGUGCCAGAACAACAACACGACCUAGACUCAGGCAGUGAUGAUGACGAAAGAUAUGAACUCUGCUGUAAAUUUCCACCCCGUUCCGAACACAGUGCAAAUCUCACCACACUGAAUCCUGAAGCUGAACCAUUUGAACCGGCUAUGAUGGAUGAGUACUUACCCGAAUACCAACCUGAUGCUGGAGAAGGAGAGAAUGCAGAAGUCACAGAAACGGAGGAGGAGAAUGUUCCACAGGAGGACAACGAUUCUGUAGAGGGGGAUCAGGAUUCUGUGAGUGAACUGGAGGUGCCACAGUCAUGCACUUACCCACAAAGACUGAGACAUCAGCCAAAGAUGUUGACUUAUAAUGAACUGGGAGCACCGACAGUGGUACGGAGAAAUGUAGUUCUGAAGGAUAUCAACUUCCAGCCUGCUUGUGGUCAGAAUCUGUGGAGGCCAUGGACUUUAAUAAACAACAGAAUGGUAAACUAAAGACAAUCAAAUAUCACAGAAGAAAAAAAAAAAAAAGAGGAAAGAAAGAGGAAAUAGAAAGAAUACAUACCUGUGAGUUGAGACCCGUGACCUGUGACCUGUAAAGUAAACAGAAAAAAAGAGGUAACAAGAUAAAGUGAAUAAGUGGCCGAAUAUUAUGGAGUCUGAUUACAUGGUAAGACUCAUCUAAUUAAGAUGUAACUGUUUACAUAUAUGCUAAUAUUGCUGGUAGGAAUAGUCAGAUAAGUGGUAAAGUGCAAUAGUUAAGAAAAUAUAGCACAAUAGUGACUGAACCCUUUUUUUUUUUUCUAGAAAAUAAGCCGGCAAGGAGGGAAUAACUGAUUUCAUGCACAGAGUUUAAACAAACUGAGAACCUACCUUUUGUCUCACAGCAAUGUACAGGUCAUCCUGAAAACAACUGUUCUAAAGUUGUGGUAAAAUGUCGGAAGAACAUUUUUAAAAGUGGGGGAGGGUGUAGUGGUAUGAACUCAAGUAGUUAUGUAUGUAUUGCUUAUCAUUAAUAUUAUUAGUUGUCAUUUGUAAAAUAUGGUUCUUGUGUUAAAUGUAUAUCAAAAUAUAUUUGUAUAUAGUAUUGUGCAAUGAUGCCAACUUGAACAUCACGUAGACCUGUAGACGCUGGCGGGUGACGCUAGAGGGCGAUCGUGAGCCGCAGGACAUAGAGCUUAAUUUAUAUAUGAAGAAGCCACUCUGGCAGUCACUGAUAAACAGUUGAAAACAACUAAUUCCUAUCUCUGUUUAUGUGUUUUUACAGCAAUAAAACAAUAUAUGUGCCACCAGAAGUCUCCGCCUCUUCUGUGUGUGCAACAUGCGCAGUUCCUCACAUUCACCUCUCGUGCACUUCCUCACUUUCAAAUUUGCUGUAUUGAUUUAGCUUGGAAUUUACAAUCACCCUUCCGUCAACGUCAUCUUUCCCUCAUCCAUCUCAACCGGUGUUCAACUACAGAAUCUUAUACAAGUUUGGAGUCAUGAGUGGUUUUCUGUAAUGAAAUUCCCAGUCGGAGUCAGGGCACAUAAAGCCAGCCGGAAUGAAAUUCAACCACUGGAAUCCUAGCCUUUCAUCUGCAGCUUCACUUUUCUGUCCUGUUUUUGUGUGUGUGUGUGUGUGUGUGUGUCUGUAUUUAAUGGUCGUGUGUCUGUGAGUAUGUGAGCAUGUGGCCUGAUUUUCGGGAGGUCUGUAGGUGUUCCGUUAUCAGCUUCUGAUGGAUGGUAGUUCAGUAUGCCUCUCUUUGUGUUUGCAUAGCUGAAUUCAAUAAAAUGACACUCGUUUAAGGAGAAGCACAGAAUCAUGUACCAACUUAUUAUUAUGUGCAGUAGUGAUUUUGGUGGGUCACGGGUUUGGUUUGAUUAGGUAACAGACAGCAGGAAAAGCAAUGCUAAAUGCAAAUAAUAAAAUGCAACUAACCAUAUAAUUGUGCAUAUUUAGGAUUAUAAAAUUAAUAGGCUUAUUGAUUAGAAGAGAGGAGAAGACUUCCUAACAUGAUUUGUGCUGACCACAGUGUGCUUUGUGUGGUAAUUUAUUGGCUGCUGAGAGCAUUAAAAUUCAAGAGACAUUUGGAAAACAAACUGUAAUGUAAAACUGAAAAGUAAAUAUUCCAGUAUGUUAAUUGGUUUGCAUAUUGUUCAACCUAUGCUGUUCAUGGUAUUAUUUACAUUUUUGGGUAACAUUUUACAAUAAGGUACAGUAGUUAACAUUAG